UCAAACACAAAAGAAACCUGCUUCAUAAUACGAAUUAUAUAAAACAUGCAUUAAUUUAAAUACUUGUCAUCACAUGCUCUCCUAUAUAUAGGCUAAUCGCAUCAAAAUAAUCAUUUAAAAUAAUUCAACAUCCAAAUAUGUUGCAUAACAUCAACAUGGUUAUGGAAAAUUCCUUUAACAUAAACAACAUCAAAACCAAUAGAAAAUAGAAAAACAAAG
This 219-nucleotide long non-coding RNA is filed under the name Lathyrus oleraceus (garden pea). RNAcentral's name for it is "Pisum sativum (pea) long non-coding RNA (PSAT_LNC014858)". The record is from RNAcentral. Lineage: Eukaryota; Viridiplantae; Streptophyta; Magnoliopsida; Fabales; Fabaceae.